This 253-nucleotide ribosomal RNA is filed under the name uncultured bacterium. RNAcentral describes it as "partial 16S ribosomal RNA". It matches the Rfam family "Bacterial small subunit ribosomal RNA", at positions 524 to 776 of the family's 1533-position model. The record is from RNAcentral.
UACGUAGGGUGCGAGCGUUGUCCGGAAUUAUUGGGCGUAAAGAGCUCGUAGGCGGUCUGUUGCGUCGGCUGUGAAAACCCGGGGCUCAACUCCGGGCCUGCAGUCGAUACGGGCAGACUAGAGUUCGGUAGGGGAGACUGGAAUUCCUGGUGUAGCGGUGAAAUGCGCAGAUAUCAGGAGGAACACCGGUGGCGAAGGCGGGUCUCUGGGCCGAAACUGACGCUGAGGAGCGAAAGCGUGGGGAGCGAACAGG